Molecule: long non-coding RNA, 1359 nt
Filed under: Homo sapiens (human)
Lineage: Eukaryota; Metazoa; Chordata; Mammalia; Primates; Hominidae
Description: lung cancer associated transcript 1
Source: RNAcentral
ACUUAAAGAGGACGGCAGAUCAAGAGCAUCUCAUCCUCCGGCUGCUGAGUCAUCCUGCUCUGGCAGUUAUUUAAACAGAAGGCUCCAGGAGACAUACAAUCAACACUCCACUCAGACAAUGCCCAGACCUCCAGAAACCAUGUGUCAAGCUCGGAUUGCCUUAGACAGGUGCAAUUUAAGAACAGCUUUCAUCCUCUUUUCUCUCAUAUUGUCACACUAUGUGUUCUGACUUCUGGCUCCUUUCCUCACAAGAAGCUCACCCAGCUGGAACUCUUAUGGGACCUUGGCACCAGAGACCACAAAUUCCUCUUUGAAGUUUUCUAACAGCAACAAUGGUAUUUCUGACUUGGCUUUCUUGUAUUUCUCUCACGUUAACAAAAUUGGUUCAGCAUCUACCAUGGGCUACAUGCUGAGCUACAGAGUUUCGCUCUGUCGCCCAGGCUGGAGUGCAGUGGCGCGCGAUCUCGGUUCACUGCAAGCUCCACCUCCCGGGUUCACGCCAUUCUCCUGCCUCAGCCUCCUGAGUAGCUGGGACUACAGGCGCCCGCCACCACACCCAGGAAUCCAACUUGCUGUUUGCUAUCACAUGUGCUAUACAUGCUGUUGAUGAAACUGCUAAAGGGGCUGAAUGUGACUGACGUCUUUGGAAGGAUGAGACUUAGCGUGCCUGUACAGUUGUGUCCAAAUGCUGUCCUCAUCUCCCAAUGAAAAGCUGAACUAGGGCCAUGCCUGGGACAGACAGAGAAUGGCCUUCCAGCAGACAUGCCAAGAAGCAAGCCAGGGUCAGUGAGUGAAGAGGAGGGCAGGCCCAUUUGAAGCAACACAGUUUAUGAACAAAACCCAUCAGAAGAUGUCAGAAGAUAAGGAUUUUUGUCCUGAUGCUACACUUACCAGCUGUCCCUCAGUGUUCUACUUCUUAAAAAAAGAGAGAUGGAUAAACAGAGGCAACCCGAGGAUAAAGGCCUUGCUCAGUGUCACACAUUUCAGUCACUAAAUAAGACACAAUGGAUGCCAGUAUUCUCAUCCCCUCACAAAUAAAGAGCCUUCAAGCUCUUGCAGUCAACAAGAACUUUUGGAAUGAUUUCACUGCCUGAAAAGGCAGAUACAUAGGUGACACCCACAAAUAGGAAGAAAAUCAACCUGAACCUGAGUGUGUGGGCUCACUGACUCUAAGCAGUAGAGACAGAAGAAAAAGUUUUAGCAAAGAAGGGUUCUGAAAGAAAAUAAAUAUAGCUCGUUAUCAAGUGCUGUUUUUACACAGUAAAACAUGGGCAAAAUUACUCUUCUUUAAGUAGUAAUUCUUAUCUCUUGAUUAAGUCACCUACUCAUUCAUUUAAUAAAUACAUACUGAUUGUUUUC